AAUAAGGAGAUGCCCCCGUCAAUGGUGAAUCAUCGACGCUAAUACCCAAGAGAGAACCCUAGCCAAUAGUGAUCCAACUCUCUCCUGCUCUGUUUUAUUCUCACAACGAGUAAGAGUAAACCCUAGUGCCUUCAAUGGUUUCUGUAAAUCUCAUAAUUGGAAGCAACAAACUAUAGCCUCUUCAACGGUGAGACGUAACUCUCAUUCUAUGGCAUAAAUGGACUCUAACCACACGGGGUAUUUUCCAACGAGGAGAAGUUCAAGAUUUCUCUACUUGUUUCCAAGUUUGCCACUCUUUGGGUGGAGGAACUGGCUUUGGAAGGGGUACCUUGUUGAUCUCUAAGAUCAGGGAGGAGUACUUACCUUCCCUUUGUUCCCAUCACCAAAGGUCUGAGACACUAUUGUCGAGCCAUACAAUGCCACUCUCUCUGUGCACCAGCUUGUGGAGAAUGCGGAUGAGUGCAUGGUCUUUGACAAUGAAGCUCUCUAUGAUAUCUGUUUCGGGACCCUCAAUCUCACCACUCCUAGCUGUAUGUUACGCUUUUUUUUGGAAGGAAACUAUUGCAUCUAUUGAUUGAGAAGAAUGCGGGAUACACAUGCCAUUGAGUUUGAGAGGAGUCGUGGGAGGUUCUUGAUGAGAUUCAAGCAGCCUAACAAUAUCUAUGCCUGCUAUAAAUGGGAUUCUUUUUUAAGUUAGAUCUUCUGAGUAUACUGGAGCGAGUCUAUAGAUCCCAAAGUUUUGUUGUCUUUUUUCUAUUAAUUAAGGGGAUUUUUUUUUAAGAAAAAUUACAUAUAUAUCCAUUAUAUUUUACGUUAUUAUGGAUGUACCGAAUAGUUUCCGUUAUUACAUGUCUGUCUGUUUUUUACCUUUUAUAAUGUAAAUUUAAAAAAAAGAUGAUUUUACCCUUUUUCGGGUGUUGAACAACGAAAUUGAAAGGUUUUUCGAAGGUUCAACAUUCGAAUUCAAUGUAUUUUCGGUCACUUUUUCGUAUGUUGGCAAUGCAAGCUUUAUGAAAUGUGACUGAUAUUGUGAUUGAAAAUACAUUGAAUUCAAAUGUUAAACACGCGAAAAAGGGUAAAUUCGUCUUUUUAAUAAAUACCGUUAUAAAAGGUAAAAACAAACAGACAUGUAAUAGCGUAAACUAUUUGGUAUAUCUAUAAUAACACAAAGUAUAAUCGAUAUGUAUGUAAUUUUCCCUUUUUUUUAAGUGUAUUUAAGAAGUAUAGACUGUAUGUCCUAAAAUUUUGUGUUUAUGGUACAUCAUCGGUUUGAGACAUGUCCGUUAUGUUAUGAGUUUGGGAUAUCCUUUUGGCAUGAGAUA
This is a long non-coding RNA of Amborella trichopoda, 1322 nucleotides long. RefSeq lists it as uncharacterized. NCBI's taxonomy places the organism in Eukaryota, Viridiplantae, Streptophyta, Magnoliopsida, Amborellales, Amborellaceae. The record is from RefSeq and is a predicted model, not a curated record.